CGCACGGGUGAGUAACACGUAUCCAACCUGCCGUCUACUCUUGGACAGCCUUCUGAAAGGAAGAUUAAUACAAGAUGGUAUCAUGAGUCCACAUGUUCACAUGAUUAAAGGUAUUCCGGUAGACGAUGGGGAUGCGUUCCAUUAGAUAGUAGGCGGGGUAACGGCCCACCUAGUCUUCGAUGGAUAGGGGUUCUGAGAGGAAGGUCCCCCACAUUGGAACUGAGACACGGUCCAA
This 235-nucleotide ribosomal RNA is filed under the name uncultured bacterium. RNAcentral's name for it is "partial 16S ribosomal RNA". It matches the Rfam family "Bacterial small subunit ribosomal RNA", at positions 99 to 334 of the family's 1533-position model. The record is from RNAcentral.